Small nucleolar RNA from Juglans microcarpa x Juglans regia, 107 nucleotides. Lineage: Eukaryota; Viridiplantae; Streptophyta; Magnoliopsida; Fagales; Juglandaceae. The record is from RefSeq and is a predicted model, not a curated record.
AAGUCAUAAUGUGGACAUUUGCGCAAUACAUCCUUGUAUCUCACACAUACCUCAUAUAAUGAUUCACCCUCGAAUUGUCUGAAGGUAGUGAUAUCAUUCCUUAACUU